AAUAGAUUAACUUUGCCAGAGAGGAUUUGGGGGAAAAGGGAAACUCAGAUUUUCCCCAAAAUAUAUUUUCAGAUGUAUUCCCUUCACCCCUGACUUCAUCGUCAGAUAUAUGAACAUCUGCUUAACGUUUCUGCUGUGGUGAUUUUCUGAACCACGUGCAGGCCGCCGGUUUCUUCCGCCUUCAACCCACUCCCAGAACAAAGCAGUGCUCUCAAUCAGGAUUUAUUCCUGCUGGCUGGGAAUGACAAAGGAGCAGAGCAAUUCCUUGGUAUCAACUACUUGGGGAAGGAAAGAAGAACACUAGACGGGGCUAUAAUCAUGAAGAGGAUGUGGCUGGAGUUAGAGAAAGUGUACGCAAUCAUGAAGAGUGGGCAACAACAUCCGUAAAUUGCCUCAGGAGCCACAGAGUGGCCAAUGAGGACUUUCUGUGCAGAAAAUCAGAAUGGAACAUUGAAUACUUGCAAACAUGGUCCUUGUCCAUUCAAAGCAGAAGAAAAAGUUAGAAUUCAGUGGCUAUGCUUACAUAUGAUUGAGAACUGCAAUACAGUGAGCAACAUAAAUAUCUUUCUUAAAAUUUUAGUUAUCUU
Molecule: non-coding RNA, 587 nt
Organism: Heterocephalus glaber (naked mole-rat)
Lineage: Eukaryota; Metazoa; Chordata; Mammalia; Rodentia; Bathyergidae
Source: RefSeq, a predicted model, not a curated record